Molecule: ribosomal RNA, 297 nt
Filed under: uncultured bacterium
Lineage: Bacteria
Description: partial 16S ribosomal RNA
Rfam family: Bacterial small subunit ribosomal RNA
Source: RNAcentral
UUUUCCCUACGGGGCGCAGCAGUGGGGGAUAUUGCACAAUGGGGGAAACCCUGAUGCAGCGACGCCGCGUGUGGGAAGACGGUCCUCUGGAUUGUAAACCACUGUCCCCAGGGACGAAGAUGACGGUACCUGGGGAGGAAGCUCCGGCUAACUACGUGCCAGCAGCCGCGGUAAUACGUAGGUGGCAAGCGUUGUCCGGAAUUACUGGGUGUAAAGGGAGCGCAGGCGGGAAGCCAAGUCAGCUGUGAAAACUACGGGCUUAACUUGUAGACUGCAGUUGAAACUGGUUUUCUUGAG